GACGAACGCCUGGCGGGGUGCCUAAUACCUGCCAAGUAGAACGCUGAAGGAAAGGAGCUUGCUCUUUCCGGGUUAAUUUCGAACGGGUGAGUAAGGCGUAGGUAAACCUGCCUGGUAGCGGGGGAUAACUAUUGGGAAACCGAUAGCUAAUACCGCAUAACAGUAGAUUUCGCAUGAUAUUUUGCUUGGAAAGGUGCAAUUUGCACCACUUCCCAGAUGGACCUGCGUUUGUUUUUAGCUAGUUUGUGAGGUAACCGGCUCCCCCAAGGCAACGAUACAUAGCCGACCUGAGAGGGUGAUCGGCCACACUGGGACUAGACACGGCCCAGACUCCUACGGGAGGCAGCAGUAGGGAAUCUUCGGCAAUGGACGGAAGUCUGACCGAGCAACGCCGCGUGAGUGAAGAAGGUUUUCGGAUCGUAAAGCUCUGUUGUAAGAGAAGAACGAGUGUGAGAGUGGAAAGUUCACACUGUGACGGUAUCUUACCAGAAAGGGACGGCUAACUACGUGCCAGCAGCCGCGGUAAUACGUAGGUCCCGAGCGUUGUCCGGAUUUAUUGGGCGUAAAGCGAGCGCAGGCGGUUAGAUAAGUCUGAAGUUAAAGGCUGUGGCUUAACCAUAGUACGCUUUGGAAACUGUUUAACUUGAGUGCAAGAGGGGAGAGUGGAAUUCCAUGUGUAGCGGUGAAAUGCGUAGAUAUAUGGAGGAACACCAGUGGCGAAAGCGGCUCUCUGGCUUGUAACUGACGCUGAGGCUCGAAAGCGUGGGGAGCAAACAGG
This 778-nucleotide ribosomal RNA is filed under the name uncultured Streptococcus sp. Its description in RNAcentral is "bacterial SSU rRNA". It matches the Rfam family "Bacterial small subunit ribosomal RNA", at positions 28 to 776 of the family's 1533-position model. Lineage: Bacteria; Bacillati; Bacillota; Bacilli; Lactobacillales; Streptococcaceae. The record is from RNAcentral.